AUUGAACGCUGGCGGCAGGCUUAACACAUGCAAGUCGAGCGAGAGGCGGACGGGUGAGUAAUGUCUUGGAAACUGCCUGAUGGAGGGGGAUAACUACUGGAAACGGUAGCUAAUAGCGCAUACGAUCCGAUGUGCCCAGGUGGGAUUAGCUAGUAGGUGGGGUAAUGGCUCACCUAGGCGACGAUCCCUAGCUGGUCUGAGAGGAUGACCGGCCACACUGGAACUGAGACACGGUCCAGACUCCUACGGGAGGCAGCAGUAGGGAAUAUUGCACAAUGGGCGCAAGCCUGAUGCAGCCAUGCCGCGUGUAUGAAGAAGGCCUUAGGGUUGUAAAGUACUUUCAGCGAGGAGGCGUUACUCGCAGAAGAAGCACCGGCUAACUCCGUGCCAGCAGCCGCGGUAAUAC
This 406-nucleotide ribosomal RNA is filed under the name uncultured bacterium. RNAcentral describes it as "partial 16S ribosomal RNA". It matches the Rfam family "Bacterial small subunit ribosomal RNA", at positions 30 to 526 of the family's 1533-position model. The record is from RNAcentral.